ACAGUUUGAUCUUGGCUCAGAUUGAACACUGGCGGCAGGCCUAACACAUGCAAGUCCAACUGUAACAGGAAGUGCUUGCACUUCGCUGACGAGUGGCAGACGGGUGAGUAUUGCUUGGGAACUUGCCUUUGCGAGGGGGAUGGCAAUUGGAAACGACUGCUAAUACCGCAUAACGUCUACAUCACCAGACCGGGCUUAGGCUCCGGCGCAGAGAGAGGCCCAAGUGAGAUUAGCUAGUUGGUUAGGUAAAGGCUUACCAAGGCAACGAUCUCUAGCUGUUCUGAGAGGAAGAUCAAGCCUCACUGGCAACUGAGACACGGUCCAGACUCCUACCGGAGGCAGCAGUGGGGAAUAU
Molecule: ribosomal RNA, 355 nt
Filed under: uncultured gamma proteobacterium 400m-FREE-23
Lineage: Bacteria; Pseudomonadati; Pseudomonadota; Gammaproteobacteria
Description: bacterial SSU rRNA
Rfam family: Bacterial small subunit ribosomal RNA
Source: RNAcentral